RNAcentral lists this long non-coding RNA (611 nucleotides) under Pan troglodytes (chimpanzee). Its description in RNAcentral is "long non-coding RNA NONPTRT003181". Lineage: Eukaryota; Metazoa; Chordata; Mammalia; Primates; Hominidae. The record is from RNAcentral.
CGUAUAAACAGUAAUUAAAAAGUCUGUUAUCAAAGCAAAGUUCAGGACCAGAUGAUAUCAUGACUAAAUUCUACCAAAUAUUUAAAAUUCUACCAAAUUCUAAAUGCUACCUGAUAUUUAAAAAAUACAAGUACCUAUCAAACUCUUCUAAUGACUCAAGAAAAUAGAAUACUUCCAAAUUCAUUUUACAAGGCCAGCAUUACCCUGAUAUCAAAAUGAGGCAAAGAUACUGCAAGAAAAGAAAAUUAUAGGCCAAUGUCCCUAAUUUGUAGAUAAUACAUUUUUUGACAUAGCUAUAAAUAACACAAAGAAGAGAUAGAUGGUCUUUUCAAUGAUGUUAGAGAAAUUGGAUAUCCACAUGCAAAAAAUGAAAUUGGAUCCUUAUGUGACACCAUAUACUAAAAUAAACUGAAAAUGAAUUAAAUACUUAGUAAGACCUGAAAACAUACAACUAGUGGAAGAAAACAUAGGGAAAAUGCUCUAUGACAUCAGUCUAGGCAAUUUUUUUUUUAUGUAACCUUAAAAGCAUGGAAACAGAAGCAAACUCAACAAAUGGGUUUACAUCAAACUAAAAAUGCUUUAGCACAGCAACGGAAGCAAUUAAGAGUGAA